AUGCCCGAUCCCAAUCCCCUUCACCUCCUCCUCCCUCUCGCUCCACUGCACGACCCCUUCCCCUGCUCUCUUCCACCACUUCCACUGCCUUCAACCACAAGGAGGCCGCCGCCUCACCAGGAGAUCGCUGCAUCGCCGGGGACGCCGAGCGCCACCUACCCCGGCGGCGACCAAAGCCAUCGGAGUUCCGCACACCUCGCCCUCGCGUCUCCGACCUCCUCAUCGCCCUGCCAUGGCGCCCGCAUCUCCCGUUGUGCUGCGCCAAUGGCGCCUCCGGCGACCCCUUCCUCAGCUGGUCGCCGCCGCCGACUAGCGCCAGCAAAUGGCAGCAGCGCCGCCUCAGCGCACCUCGUUGCUGGAGAACCACAAGCACGACACCAACAGCGAGCCCACCUCCUAUGUCCAUCCCCGUUGCUUCUCCUCGUGCCUCGUUCUGACCUCGUCCACGACGUCCGACCCCCUGCAUCACCUCCUGGCCCCACCUCGUUCAUAUCCACCAUGGCCACUUUGGCCUUGCUCGCUGUUUUGCUCAGUCGCAUCAGCCGCAGUCGCCUCCAUGUUUUGUUCCUUGCGGGAAGAAGACCCAUGCCCUUCGAUUGCAGCAUGCCUUCGCUGGGUUUUCUCCGCAAGGCCCCUUUGCGAAUCACUGCCAAGGCCAAGACCAUCUCCGGGCACGAAGCCUCAAGUCUGAGGACUAUUGCAUUCGUGGAUCCCUUUCGCCAAGUACCACGACCGGUGAAGUCCAAGACAGAGACCUACUCGAGCAGGAGCAUUUUUUGGGAUCGUCAGGACCACCUCAAGUUCGACUACGACCAUCCCUCACCAAGACCGACCCCGAAAGGCUCGGAUUCGUCACGUGUGCAACGGCGCAUGUACAACUAUGCGGACUCGACAAGUACCACUUCAUGUCGACAAGACCACACGGAUGCUGGAACGAGUACUGAACGAAACACCAAGUACCACUACCGCCGCUAUAAUUUUGACAAGAAAUGUGUACCACUACCGUCGCCAGUACGUCUACCAUCGUCAUGUACCCCUACUUCCACUACCGUCGCGAGAACAACUACUUCCUCUACGAACUCGAACCGCUCUGAGAAUCCUCCCUUGUAA
This 1110-nucleotide ribosomal RNA is filed under the name Triticum aestivum (bread wheat). Its description in RNAcentral is "partial small subunit ribosomal RNA". Lineage: Eukaryota; Viridiplantae; Streptophyta; Magnoliopsida; Poales; Poaceae. The record is from RNAcentral.